CGAUAAUUUAGAUAAAUGAAUAUUUAAUUCAUCAUCAAUUUGCAAUAGAUAAUUUUCUUUUCCAACUAUUAUUAUGCAGAAAAUACUGCAAUUUAGAGUUAAAUACAUAAUAUUGUGAUUAAAACAUAUAUUCACAACAAAAAUUUAAAACACAAAAUUCACAAAACAAAGAAUUCUAUGCAUAUAUUCACAUUUUCUAGUCUAAAGACCGAAAGAAAGCGACAUAUAACAUAAGACUAUAUCAAAUGCUUAUAUUAUUCUACAUCUUUUUUAUUUUUACAUUACACAUCACUCUC
RNAcentral lists this long non-coding RNA (296 nucleotides) under Brassica napus (rape). Its description in RNAcentral is "long non-coding RNA (BNAP_LNC013159)". Lineage: Eukaryota; Viridiplantae; Streptophyta; Magnoliopsida; Brassicales; Brassicaceae. The record is from RNAcentral.